GACGAACGCUGGCGGCGUGCUUAACACAUGCAAGUCGAACGGAAAGGCCCUGCUUUUGUGGGGUGCUCGAGUGGCGAACGGGUGAGUAACACGUGAGUAACCUGCCCUUGACUUUGGGAUAACUUCAGGAAACUGGGGCUAAUACCGGAUAGGAGCUCCUGCUGCAUGGUGGGGGUUGGAAAGUUUCGGCGGUUGGGGAUGGACUCGCGGCUUAUCAGCUUGUUGGUGGGGUAGUGGCUUACCAAGGCUUUGACGGGUAGCCGGCCUGAGAGGGUGACCGGCCACAUUGGGACUGAGAUACGGCCCAGACUCCUACGGGGGACAGCAGGGGGAAAUAUUGCACAAUGGGCGGAAGCCUGAUGCAGCAACGCCGCGUGCGGGAUGACGUCCUUCGGGGUAUAAACCGCUUUCGCCUGUGACGAAGCGUGAGUGACGGUAAUGGGUAAAGAAGCACCGGCUAACUACGUG
Molecule: ribosomal RNA, 468 nt
Filed under: uncultured bacterium
Lineage: Bacteria
Description: partial 16S ribosomal RNA
Rfam family: Bacterial small subunit ribosomal RNA
Source: RNAcentral